UCCGGUUUAACACCGGCAGUCUCACUAGAGUCCCCGGCAUGACCCGUUGGCAACUAGUGAUAGGGGUUUCGCUCGUUAAGCGACUUAACGCGACACUUCACAGCACGAGCUGACGACAGCCAUGCAGCACCUGUGCAUGUUCCACUACGAGAGUGUCAUCUGUCUUUCAACAGACUAAUCCAUGCAUGUCAAGCCCAGGAUAAGGUUCUUCGCGUUGCUUCGAAUUGAGCCACAUGCUCCACCGCUUGUGUGAGCCCCCGUCAAUUCCUUUGAGUUUUAGCCUUGCGACCGUACUCCCCAGGCGGUGCACUCAUCGUUUUUACUUCGACCGAGAGAGGCGUCAGUACCUUCCUCGAUCUCGUGCACAUCGUUUACGGCGUGGACUA
Molecule: unclassified non-coding RNA, 386 nt
Filed under: uncultured Phycisphaeraceae bacterium
Lineage: Bacteria; Pseudomonadati; Planctomycetota; Phycisphaerae; Phycisphaerales; Phycisphaeraceae
Description: contains 16S-23S intergenic spacer region
Source: RNAcentral